GUAGACCAAUAGUACAGAAUAGAGGACACAGAGAAUAAUGCACAAAAUUACAAUUAUCUUAUAUUAGACAAAGGUGCCAAAAACAUUCACUGGAGAAAAGAUAGCGUCUUCAACAAAUGGUGCUGAGAAAACUGGAAAUCCAUAUGCAACAAAAUGAAAUUAAACUCAUAUCUCUCACCAUGCACAAAACUUAACUCAAAAUGAAUCAAGGACUUAGGAAUUAAACCAGAGACUGCAUCUAAUGAAAGAAAAAGUAAGCCCUAAUCUUCAUCAUGUGGGAUUAGGCUCCAACUUCCUUAAUAAGACUUCUAUAGCACAAGAAUUAAAACCAAGAACCAGUAAAUGGGAUGAAAUGAAACUAAAAAGCUUCGUCUCAGCAAAAGAAACAAUCUGUGAGGUAAACAGAAAGACUACAUCCUGGGAGCAAAUCUUUACCCCUCACACAUCAGAUAGAGCACUAAUCUUUAGGAUAUAUAAAGAACUGAAAAAGCCAAGCACCAAAACAAACAAACAAACAAAAAAUAACCCAAUCAACAAAUGGGCCAAGGACCUGAACAGACACUUCUCAGAAGAGGAUAUACAAUGCUCAUCAUCUCUAUCAGAGAAAUGCAAAUCAAAACUACUCUAAGAUAUCAUCUCACUCCAGUCAGAAUGACAGCUAUUAUGAAGAGAAACAACAAUAAGUGUUGGUGAGGAUGUGGGGGGGAAAAUGUACACUCAUACAUUGCAGGUGGAAGUGCAAAUUGGUGCGGCCAAUAUGACAACAGUAUGGAGAUUUCUUUGAACACUGGGAAUGGAGCCACCAUUUGAC
Molecule: long non-coding RNA, 811 nt
Filed under: Marmota monax (woodchuck)
Lineage: Eukaryota; Metazoa; Chordata; Mammalia; Rodentia; Sciuridae
Source: RNAcentral